GACGAACGCUGGCGGCGUGCUUAACACAUGCAAGUCGAACGGAAAGGCCCUGCUUUUGUGGGGUGCUCGAGUGGCGAACGGGUGCGUAACACGUGUGUAACCUGCCCUUCACUUUGGGAUAACUUCAGGAAACUGGGGCUAAUACCGGAUAGGAUCUCCUGCUGCAUGGUGGGCGUUGGAAAGUUUCGGCGGUUGGGGAUGGACUCGCGGCUUAUCAGCUUGUUGGUUGGGUAGUUGCUUACCAAGGCUUUGACGGGUAGCCGGCCUGAGAGGGUGACCGGCCACAUUGGGACUGAGAGACGGCCCAGACUCCUACGGGAGGCAGCAGUGGGGAAUAUUGCACAAUGGGCGGAAGCCUGAUGCAGCAACGCCGCGUGCGGGAUGACGGCCUUCGGGUUGUAAACCGCUUUCGCCUGUGACGAAGCGUGAGUGACGGUAAUGAGUAAAGAAGCACCGGCUAACUACGUG
RNAcentral lists this ribosomal RNA (468 nucleotides) under uncultured bacterium. RNAcentral describes it as "partial 16S ribosomal RNA". It matches the Rfam family "Bacterial small subunit ribosomal RNA", at positions 28 to 507 of the family's 1533-position model. The record is from RNAcentral.